ACCAGAUAUAUUCAUUUUUAUUAUUUAUUAAUGGAAACAAAAUAACAAAAUGUUAUAGUAGUAUAUUUAUAUUACCAUAUGCAUGAACCAUGUUUAUCCUCCAUACACCGAACAGGUUAUCUUACCCUGAACCAGAUUAUAACGACCGGUUAAGGUUAAGGUUAAGCACCAGGUGCUGCAUCUUUAGCCCUACCGUGGAAAUACCCACCGUACUCUCUAGCAUAAUCUUUGACGUGAGAGGCCGUGUCAUAGAUCCGACCACGUGCAUAAUCCAUUUGAUCCGAUCCAACCGGGUGCCUUCCACGGAAAUAACGAUACGCCCACGAUACGACAGCCAACGUUCCAACAAGAAAACCGGCCACCGAUAAGAACCCGCCAACCCCGAUAAAUACCGGGAUCCAUACCGGACUCGAGAUGAUGAUCAGCGGAAGAAAGACAACGAAGCCUAUCCCGACGGCCGUCACGGUUAGGCCUAGGAGGAAGAGGAGGAUUCCGCCGGAUAUGAAGAGAGCGAGGAGACCAAAGAGCUGUGAGGAGGUUGGUGAAUGAGAUCGGAGAAGGCGGACAAGAGAAGCGUAAGGGCUGUUUCUUUCGGUGGUGUUGCUGCUACCGUAGAUGGGCCAGUAUUGGGCGUCGCCGCGAGAGAACGUUUCCGCCAUUGUAGAGUGACUUGUUGCUAUUGUGCGGUGACAGAGAACAGAAAUAGGAAAGGGGUAAAAAAAAACAAAUGGAGGACAAAAUUUUCAGCUUUGAGGUGGCAUUCAUGCAAACACGUGGAGAUCGGUCUCUGUUUUCAUGUUUGUCUUAAAUCGAGAAUUUGGUUUAAAUCCGGUUUAACUAAAAAUGAAUUGUUGGGAUUGGUUCGGUUUAUUUGCCACCAAAAGUAAAAGGACCAAGUGUCAAUAUAAAGAACACUGAACACACCCUCAAGUUACAAGAAGAGAAAACAGCAAGCAAGAAAGCUACAAUACCGAAUCAGUAGUAGCCAACGCCUCUAAGCUCAGCAGAACUUGGCUGCUGCAUAUCACUAGCUUUACCUAGAAACACAACUCGGCCUGCAUAAAGAAGAAACAAAGAUCAAAAUCUGACUUUUUUCAAAUAAAUCUGAGUGAGUAAAAACGAGAUCUUGAAGUUGAGCCAGUUCAUACCGUUUCUACGAAUGGCUACUUCUCUAAUACGUCGAACCAAACCAGUAACAGGAUCAGUGAAAAUCUUCGUCUCCAGAUAAGUCUUAAACCCUAAACCUAAACCGUAAACCUUAACCCAAACCCUAUAGCAUUUAAGUUCGGGGUUUGGGUUUAGGGUUUACCGUUUGGAUUUUAGGUCUAGAAUUUGGGUUUAGGGUAUAGGUUUUGAGUUUAGGAUUUACGGUUUGGGUUUAGGAUUUACGGUUUGGGUUUAGGGUCUAGGAUUAGAGUUUAGGAUAUAGGGUUUUGGGUUUAGAAUUUACGGUUUGGGUUUAGGAUUUACGGUUUGGGUUUAGGGUCUAGGAUUAGAGUUUAGGGUAUAGGGUUUUGGUUUAGGUGUUUGGAUUUGGGUUUAGAAUUUAGGGUAUAGAGUUUAGAAUUUAAAUUUUAGGAUUUAGGGUUUCGCUGGACGCAUUAGCGUCGUUAAAAUUAAUAUUUUUUUAUUUUUUGUAGCUAUUUUUUAUUUAAUUUAAUAUUUUUUAAUUAAUUAUCUAUGUGGAAAAUUGAUUGGUCAUAAAUGGUGAGGUGAAUUUAAAGGUUCACCCUAGGGGGUGAACUUUAGUUCUGUCCCAAAAAUAUAUACUAGUACAUUUCAGGUGACGAACACGCACGCCAAAAAUCUUAUAAAGCUUAUACAUAACCAGAUAUAUUCAUUUUUAUUAUUUAUUAAUGGAAACAAAAUAACAAAAUGUUAUAGUAGUAUAUUUAUAUUACCAUAUGCAUGAACCAUGUUUAUCCUCCAUACACCGAACAGGUUAUCUUACCCUGAACCAGAUUAUAACGACCGGUUAAGGUUAAGGUUAAGCACCAGGUGCUGCAUCUUUAGCCCUACCGUGGAAAUACCCACCGUACUCUCUAGCAUAAUCUUUGACGUGAGAGGCCGUGUCAUAGAUCCGACCACGUGCAUAAUCCAUUUGAUCCGAUCCAACCGGGUG
RNAcentral lists this long non-coding RNA (2122 nucleotides) under Brassica napus (rape). Its description in RNAcentral is "long non-coding RNA (BNAP_LNC008817)". Lineage: Eukaryota; Viridiplantae; Streptophyta; Magnoliopsida; Brassicales; Brassicaceae. The record is from RNAcentral.